AUGCACGCUGGCGGCGUGCCUCAUACCUGCCAGUCGCGCGAACAGACGAGGAGCUUGCUCCUCUGACGUUAGCGGCGGACGGGUGAGUAACACGUGGAUAACCUACCUAUAAGACUGGGAUAACUUCGGGAAACCGGAGCUAAUACCGGAUAAUAUAUUGAACCGCAUGGUUCAAUAGUGAAAGACGGUUUUGCUGUCACUUAUAGAUGGAUCCGCGCCGCAUUAGCUAGUUGGUAAGGUAACGGCUUACCAAGGCAACGAUGCGUAGCCGACCUGAGAGGGUGAUCGGCCACACUGGAACUGAGACACGGUCCAGACUCCUACGGGAGGCAGCAGUAGGGAAUCUUCCGCAAUGGGCGAAAGCCUGACGGAGCAACGCCGCGUGAGUGAUGAAGGUCUUCGGAUCGUAAAACUCUGUUAUUAGGGAAGAACAAAUGUGUAAGUAACUAUGCACGUCUUGACGGUACCUAACCAGAAAGCCACGGCUAACUACGUG
This 496-nucleotide ribosomal RNA is filed under the name uncultured bacterium. RNAcentral describes it as "partial 16S ribosomal RNA". It matches the Rfam family "Bacterial small subunit ribosomal RNA", at positions 29 to 507 of the family's 1533-position model. The record is from RNAcentral.